UAACGUCGCAAGACCAAAGAGGGGGACCUUCGGGCCUCUUGCCAUCGGAUGUGCCCAGAUGGGAUUAGCU
RNAcentral lists this ribosomal RNA (70 nucleotides) under Bacillus thuringiensis. RNAcentral describes it as "partial 16S ribosomal RNA". Lineage: Bacteria; Bacillati; Bacillota; Bacilli; Caryophanales; Bacillaceae. The record is from RNAcentral.